RNAcentral lists this ribosomal RNA (1557 nucleotides) under Staphylococcus aureus. RNAcentral describes it as "16S ribosomal RNA". It matches the Rfam family "Bacterial small subunit ribosomal RNA". The record is from RNAcentral. Lineage: Bacteria; Bacillati; Bacillota; Bacilli; Caryophanales; Staphylococcaceae.
UUUUAUGGAGAGUUUGAUCCUGGCUCAGGAUGAACGCUGGCGGCGUGCCUAAUACAUGCAAGUCGAGCGAACGGACGAGAAGCUUGCUUCUCUGAUGUUAGCGGCGGACGGGUGAGUAACACGUGGAUAACCUACCUAUAAGACUGGGAUAACUUCGGGAAACCGGAGCUAAUACCGGAUAAUAUUUUGAACCGCAUGGUUCAAAAGUGAAAGACGGUCUUGCUGUCACUUAUAGAUGGAUCCGCGCUGCAUUAGCUAGUUGGUAAGGUAACGGCUUACCAAGGCAACGAUGCAUAGCCGACCUGAGAGGGUGAUCGGCCACACUGGAACUGAGACACGGUCCAGACUCCUACGGGAGGCAGCAGUAGGGAAUCUUCCGCAAUGGGCGAAAGCCUGACGGAGCAACGCCGCGUGAGUGAUGAAGGUCUUCGGAUCGUAAAACUCUGUUAUUAGGGAAGAACAUAUGUGUAAGUAACUGUGCACAUCUUGACGGUACCUAAUCAGAAAGCCACGGCUAACUACGUGCCAGCAGCCGCGGUAAUACGUAGGUGGCAAGCGUUAUCCGGAAUUAUUGGGCGUAAAGCGCGCGUAGGCGGUUUUUUAAGUCUGAUGUGAAAGCCCACGGCUCAACCGUGGAGGGUCAUUGGAAACUGGAAAACUUGAGUGCAGAAGAGGAAAGUGGAAUUCCAUGUGUAGCGGUGAAAUGCGCAGAGAUAUGGAGGAACACCAGUGGCGAAGGCGACUUUCUGGUCUGUAACUGACGCUGAUGUGCGAAAGCGUGGGGAUCAAACAGGAUUAGAUACCCUGGUAGUCCACGCCGUAAACGAUGAGUGCUAAGUGUUAGGGGGUUUCCGCCCCUUAGUGCUGCAGCUAACGCAUUAAGCACUCCGCCUGGGGAGUACGACCGCAAGGUUGAAACUCAAAGGAAUUGACGGGGACCCGCACAAGCGGUGGAGCAUGUGGUUUAAUUCGAAGCAACGCGAAGAACCUUACCAAAUCUUGACAUCCUUUGACAACUCUAGAGAUAGAGCCUUCCUCUUCGGGGGACAAAGUGACAGGUGGUGCAUGGUUGUCGUCAGCUCGUGUCGUGAGAUGUUGGGUUAAGUCCCGCAACGAGCGCAACCCUUAAGCCUAGUUGCCAUCAUUAAGUUGGGCACUCUAAGUUGACUGCCGGUGACAAACCGGAGGAAGGUGGGGAUGACGUCAAAUCAUCAUGCCCCUUAUGAUUUGGGCUACACACGUGCUACAAUGGACAAUACAAAGGGCAGCGAAACCGCGAGGUCAAGCAAAUCCCAUAAAGUUGUUCUCAGUUCGGAUUGUAGUCUGCAACUCGACUACAUGAAGCUGGAAUCGCUAGUAAUCGUAGAUCAGCAUGCUACGGUGAAUACGUUCCCGGGUCUUGUACACACCGCCCGUCACACCACGAGAGUUUGUAACACCCGAAGCCGGUGGAGUAACCUUUUAGGAGCUAGCCGUCGAAGGUGGGACAAAUGAUUGGGGUGAAGUCGUAACAAGGUAGCCGUAUCGGAAGGUGCGGCUGGAUCACCUCCUUUCUAA